UACGAAGGGAGCUAGCGUUGUUCGGAAUUACUGGGCGUAAAGGGCGUGUAGGCGGUCUUAUAAGUCAGAUGUGAAAGCCCCCAGGCUUAACCUGGGAGGUGCAUUUGAGACUGUAAGACUAGAGAUCGAGAGAGGAAAGUGGAAUUACGAGUGUAGAGGUGAAAAUUCGUAGAUAUUCGUAAGAACACCAGUGGCGAAGGCGGCUUUCUGGCUCGAUACUGACGCUAAGGCGCGAAAGCGUGGGGAGCAAAACAGGAUUGAGA
RNAcentral lists this ribosomal RNA (263 nucleotides) under uncultured bacterium. Its description in RNAcentral is "partial 16S ribosomal RNA". It matches the Rfam family "Bacterial small subunit ribosomal RNA", at positions 524 to 784 of the family's 1533-position model. The record is from RNAcentral.